CCUACGGGGGGCAGCAGUGGGGAAUAUUGCACAAUGGGGGGAACCCUGAUGCAGCAAUGCCGCGUGGGUGAAGAAGCACUCCGGUGCGUAAAGCCCUGUCAGCAGGGAAGAAAAUGACAGUACCUGGACAAGAAGCCCCGGCUAACUACGUGCCAGCAGCCGCGGUAAUACGUAGGGGGCAAGCGUUAUCCGGAUUUACUGGGUGUAAAGGGAGCGCAGGCGGCGUGGCAAGUCAGAUGUGAAAACCCGGGGCCCAACCCCGGGAGUGCAUUUGAAACUGCCAUGCUGGAGUGCCGGAGAGGUAA
RNAcentral lists this ribosomal RNA (305 nucleotides) under uncultured bacterium. RNAcentral describes it as "bacterial SSU rRNA". It matches the Rfam family "Bacterial small subunit ribosomal RNA", at positions 338 to 660 of the family's 1533-position model. The record is from RNAcentral.